GACGAACGCUGGCGGCGUGCUUAACACAUGCAAGUCGAACGGAAAGGCCCUGCUUUUGUGGGGUGCUCGAGUGGCGAACGGGUGAGUAACACGUGAGUAACCUGCCCUUGACUUUGGGAUAACUUCAGGAAACUGGGGCUAAUACCGGAUAGGAGCUCCUGCUGCAUGGUGGGGGUUGGAAAGUUUCGGCGGUUGGGGAUGGACUCGCGGCUUAUCAGCUUGUUGGUGGGGUAGUGGCUUACCAAGGCUUUGACGGGUAGCCGGCCUGAGAGGGUGACCGGCCAAAUUGGGACUGAGAUACGGCCCAGACGGCGACGGGAGGCAGCGGUGGGGAAUAUUGCACAAUGGGCGGAAGCCUGAUGCAGCAACGCCGCGUGCGGGAUGACGGCCUUCGGGUUGUAAACCGCUUUCGCCUGUGACGAAGCGUGAGUGACGGUAAUGGGUAAAGAAGCACCGGCUAACUACGUG
RNAcentral lists this ribosomal RNA (468 nucleotides) under uncultured bacterium. RNAcentral's name for it is "partial 16S ribosomal RNA". It matches the Rfam family "Bacterial small subunit ribosomal RNA", at positions 28 to 507 of the family's 1533-position model. The record is from RNAcentral.